Unclassified non-coding RNA from Prolemur simus (greater bamboo lemur), 283 nucleotides. It matches the Rfam family "Metazoan signal recognition particle RNA". From Rfam's summary of the family: The signal recognition particle (SRP) is a universally conserved ribonucleoprotein. It is involved in the co-translational targeting of proteins to membranes. The eukaryotic SRP consists of a 300-nucleotide 7S RNA and six proteins: SRPs 72, 68, 54, 19, 14, and 9. The record is from Ensembl. Lineage: Eukaryota; Metazoa; Chordata; Mammalia; Primates; Lemuridae.
GCCGGGCGCGGUGGCUCACGCCUGUAAUCCUAGCACUCUGGGAGGCCGAGGCGGGUGGAUCGCUCAAGGUCAGGAGGUCGAGGCCAGCCUGAGCAAGAGCGAGACCCCGUCUCUCCUAAAAAUAGAAAGAAAUGAUUUGGACAGCUAAAAAUAUAUAUAGAAAAAAUUAGCCGGGCAUGGUGGCGCAUGCCUGUAGUCCCAGCUACUUGGGAGGCCGAGGCGGGUGGAUCGCUCAAGGUCAGGAGGUCGAGACCAGCCUGAGCAAGAGCGAGACCCCGUCUCU